RNAcentral lists this ribosomal RNA (301 nucleotides) under uncultured bacterium. RNAcentral describes it as "partial 16S ribosomal RNA". It matches the Rfam family "Bacterial small subunit ribosomal RNA", at positions 509 to 807 of the family's 1533-position model. The record is from RNAcentral.
CAGUCGCCGCGGUAAUGCAGAGGGUGCAAGCGUUAAUCGGAAUUACUGGGCGUAAAGCGCGCGUAGGUGGUUUGUUAAGUUGGAUGUGAAAUCCCCGGGCUCAACCUAGGAACUGCAUUCAAAACUGACUGACUAGAGUAUGGUAGAGGGUGGUGGAAUUUCCUGUGUAGCGGUGAAAUGCGUAGAUAUAGGAAGGAACACCAGUGGCGAAGGCGACCACCUGGACUAAUACUGACACUGAGGUGCGAAAGCGUGGGGAGCAAACAGGAUUAGAUACCCGGGUAGUCCCUGUCUCUUAUAC